Molecule: long non-coding RNA, 478 nt
Organism: Cyprinus carpio carpio
Lineage: Eukaryota; Metazoa; Chordata; Actinopteri; Cypriniformes; Cyprinidae
Source: Ensembl
UGUAUUGCUCUGACCUGUUUGUGUGACGCUUAUAUCUGAACUCCUCUGAUUAAUUGGGUGCAUCCAGGCCAUGUCUGCGGGCGUGUAUGUGUAGCGCUCCUGAGAGCCUGCCAGCUGCUGCUUUGCUGUGGCUUAAAUUCCAGCUGUUCCAGUUGGGACGUGGUAUUGCUGCUUGCGCGCUUUGCUGUACUCUUGACUUCAAACUUUUGUACUCAUCGUUACGCUGGUGGUUCAUCCCUUGUUUGCGCUAUAAGCUAGGGACCUUUGUAUAGCCUACCUGAACUACUUAUGCACCUGUUGUGUUGUUUGUUUUGAGUUAUUUUAGUUGAUUGAGUGUGCAUGUAGGUGUUUGUUCAUGUUUGAGUUGUAUGUUAGAUAUUUUGGGUUUCCUUUUCUCUUUUGUGGUUAUUUUAGUCGUUUGAUUUGGGUUUAGGUGUUUGUUAAUUUUGCAUUGGGUUAUGUAUCAUCUUGUCUUGCU